CUUCAGCGACCCGAGCCACACCGGCCGGUCGGCGGGCCGGUCCUGGCCGUAGGUGGCGAGCAGCGCGUCGGCCUC
Non-coding RNA from Kitasatospora cheerisanensis KCTC 2395, 75 nucleotides. It matches the Rfam family "ASpks TB sRNA". NCBI's taxonomy places the organism in Bacteria, Bacillati, Actinomycetota, Actinomycetes, Kitasatosporales, Streptomycetaceae. The record is from Rfam.